AUUUUUUCGGAAAGUAGGCAAAAUUCUGAUUUUUAAGGUGUUCCCCACAUCUCAGUUUUGCAUCAGCGUCACCAUUUUAGGUAAGAAUGACAGAAAUCGAUUAUUGUUCGUGUACUUCUAGCUGUUUCUUGCAAACAAAUAAUAGAAAUAAGAUAAGUAAGGCCGUAUGAUACUAUAUUUAAUGAAAAAUUGGCAUUAUCUAUGCCCCUGACACGUUUUUUGCAGGUGUGGACUGUCUGUCUGAAUGGGGCAUAAUUCCAACAGUAGCCAUUCUUUCAAACUGAAAGUUGGCCAAAUUGUUGACAAUUGACUUACGUACAAUAAUUGACUGCAACAGAACGAUUUUGAAAACUUUGGUAUUUCUUAUAGGCAUGAAGGGGGCAAUUAGCCGGAUAUGCCUCCGUGGUCCACUCGAAUGUUAUCCAUAUCAAUAUAUAGUGCAAUUUUCCCGCCUAGUAAAGGCCAUUUUCAUGCCAGAUAUAAGCUUUAUUUAUGCUUGACUGUAAAAAGGAAUGUCCGCAGAUGAUUUUAAGCUACGUUAUAUGCUUCAGAAGAUGAUUGAAAGCUGCUUUGUAAAAUGAAAGUGAAAGUAGGUAUUUCCUGAUAUCUACCUACGCAAUAUUACGUUUUCAUCACGUGUCUCAGUCACGUGACCAUGGUUUCACUGCAUUAUGGUCAACCCCAUAUUUUUUGGGUAUAUUUUGAUUGCCUAAAGACAGACCUUCAAGACAAGGGUAGUCUCGCAGGAAGUGGAAGGCUAGAAAUCUUGAUAAAAAUAUGUUAUAAGUUGUUAAUUUUAUAUAGAAAAUAGCAGCGGAUGCAUUUAAUACCUUCAUACCUAGAGCAUUUUAUUUUCAAGGGAAAUAAUUGUGGUCUGACAGUAUUAUUUUGAAAAUCACAGUUGAGAUUUUUUUAUGUGUGCACCGGUACAGUUUUGUGGGGAAGCGAAAGUUGCCAUGGAAAUUUGUCUUCUUCUAAAAACAAGUGUCUGAUACAUGUAGUUGCAGUCUGUCUUUGGAAGCUGUAGAAAUAACCAGAAAGAGGCUGACAUAGUGUUUUGGUAGGGAAAAGUUUGAGUAUGUACAUGUACAGUUGUUUGACCUGUCUUACCCUGUGGCAGUCCAAGAAGAUGUUACCAUUAUGAAAAAUGCAGGGAGAACUUGAAGACAAUGGUUAGUGCAGAUGGGGCAUAAACGUUAUGACAAAAGUAACAGAUAUAAAUAAGAAGUGCUACAAGUGUGUUGUCAUGUGAAAUGGAAUUUACCCCAACUGUGCUGCAAGAUGUAUAUUCAAGUGUAAGACAGCCAUGCACCAGCUGUAACCUGAGAUGGACCCAUAUAAUAAAUAUGUUGACUUUUCUAUGUAUUAUCAUCUGUACAGAAUGUGUUCAUGACAAGACUGUAUACAUAUAUUGUUAAAUCAUUUUUUAUUUCCAUUAUUGCAUGCAUGUAAAAAGCAAGCAUUUAACAAUUACAUUCAUAGAAGUGUUAAAAUGUGAUCGAUCUAAUUUAAAGAAACACAUUUAAUUGGACUUUUUAAGUUUCAUAGUAUUUGUGGUGGAGACUGACCCAGUCAUUCAGCAACUUAUACCGUCUGUGCGUCAUUUCUUGUAUGUUAUAGUUUUCUUAAUAAUACAUUAAAUGUCAAAGUUAUGGUAAGAUGAACUCAUUCAUCACUUGUAGAUUAAUGUUAAAGCAGUUCAACAUUUUACUAUAAGUUAACUAAUAUUCUAUUUAACCAGAGUUGUCACAUAUUUUCAUAUAAAUAUUUGUUUAAUACAGUAUAAUCUAAUCUACAUAUGAUGUUCCACAAUUUUUUAGUUAUAUUUUAUGUUGAUAUUUUAUGUUGUUUUCAUGUCUCAACAUAUAAUUACUAACAUCAAAGAAACUUUUAAAAGUGUUUUACAAUUUGGUUGGUAUAAAUGGUUGUUUUGUUUAUAUAUUUUAUUUUUUCCAUCCAGGAGAAUAAAGAAAUAUACAUUCCAAAAUAUCUCAUCAUUCCAGAUAAAUACACUACAUAAUCAAGAUAAAAGAAAUAAGAACAAAAUAUGUUGGUGGAAUUUCAUUUUCAAAAAUUUGAUAUACAGUCUUUGUAGUAUUUACUUCUUUAGAUAUGUUGGACUGAAAUGGGAAUAACAGCAUACUUUAAAUUUUUGUAGUCAUAAGUUAAUAUGGGAAUUAUUAACUUAACUUAAAAAUAUUAUCUACUGUUAUGCCAUCUGAGCUUUAAUAUUUUCAACAUUGUCACUGGCAACAAGGCUCAAAAUUAUUUGUGUAUACCUUGCAUUCAUGUGUGAUAAAUGCUUUUAUGGUAUUCUUUAAUAUAAUUUAUGCUUUUCAUCUUACCAUGGAUUAAAAAAAUAUAAAUUUAUUUGUCUGAAAAUUAAGGUAAAAAUACUGACUGAUUAAAUUGCAAUAUAAGAAAGUUUAUUUGAGAUAAAGGGAGGUAAUCCCAUAAAAAUAUGUAGAAUGUAGAUGAUAAAUGUAAUGAAGGGAGGUAAUAAAAUAUUGUGAAGUUAUUAGUCUUUAUUUCUUUUAUGAGCUAAUUAAUUGUUUUACAUUUUGGUUUAUUAACUACAAGUAUGACCUAACAUGUGUACCUGUCCUGAA
Long non-coding RNA from Mercenaria mercenaria, 2609 nucleotides. RefSeq lists it as uncharacterized. The record is from RefSeq and is a predicted model, not a curated record. The transcript is spliced from 5 exons. NCBI's taxonomy places the organism in Eukaryota, Metazoa, Mollusca, Bivalvia, Venerida, Veneridae.